ACCCCUUGCACACAGAAAAACACACAGACACACAUACACAAGCAAUGCAACCGUUACACACAAUGCAUCCCUUACACACACAGAAACACACAAUGCAUUAAUUACACACACUCAAUGCACCCCUUACACACAUUCAAUGCAUUCCAUACAUACACAGAAACACACCUUGCAGUCCUUACACAUACAAACACAAUUUCACACAAUGCAUUCCUUACACACAUAUCAGGACAUCCCCUACACACUCCACCCCCUGUGAACAAACUCAUUGGUGG
Molecule: long non-coding RNA, 272 nt
Filed under: Pelobates cultripes (western spadefoot toad)
Lineage: Eukaryota; Metazoa; Chordata; Amphibia; Anura; Pelobatidae
Source: RNAcentral